GACGUAGGGCGCGAGCGUUGUCCGGAUUUAUUGGGCGUAAAGAGCUCGUAGGCGGUUUGUCGCGUCGGGGAGUGAAAACUCAGGGCUUAACCCUGAGCCUGCUUCCGAUACGGGCAGACUAGAGGUAUGCAGGGGAGAAUGGAAUUCCGUGGUGUAGCGGUGAAAUGCGCAGAUAUCAGGAGGAACACCGGGUGGCGAAGGCGGUUCUCUGGGCAUUACCUGACGCUGAGGAACGAAAGUGUGGGGAGCGAACAGG
RNAcentral lists this ribosomal RNA (256 nucleotides) under uncultured bacterium. RNAcentral's name for it is "partial 16S ribosomal RNA". It matches the Rfam family "Bacterial small subunit ribosomal RNA", at positions 524 to 776 of the family's 1533-position model. The record is from RNAcentral.